AAGCCAGACUCCUACGGGAGGCAGCAGUGGGGGAUAUUGCACAAUGGGGGGAACCCUGAUGCAGCGAAGCCGCGUGGGUGAAGGAGCGUUUCGGCGCGUAAAGCCCUAUCGGCAGGGAAGAAGGAGGACGGUACCUGACUAAGAAGCCCCGGCUAACUACGUGCCAGCAGCCGCGGUAAUACGUAGGGGGCAAGCGUUAUCCGGAUUUACUGGGUGUAAAGGGGGCGCAGACGGCAGCGCAAGCCAGGAGUGAAAGCCCGGGGCCCAACCCCGGGACUGCUCUUGGAACUGCGCGGCUGGAGUGCAGGAGGGGCAGGCGGAAUUCCUGGUGUAGCGGUGAAAUGCGUAGAUAUCAGGAGGAACACCGGUGGCGAAGGCGGCCUGCUGGACUGCGACUGACGUUGAGGCCCGAAAGCGUGGGGAGCAAACAGGAUUAGAUACCCCCGUA
Molecule: ribosomal RNA, 448 nt
Filed under: uncultured bacterium
Lineage: Bacteria
Description: partial 16S ribosomal RNA
Rfam family: Bacterial small subunit ribosomal RNA
Source: RNAcentral